UCCGGCUUAACGCCGGCAGUCUCCCUAGAGUGCCCAACUAAAUGAUGGCAAUUAAUGACAAGGGUUGCGCUCGUUGCGGGACUUAACCCAACAUCUCACGACACGAGCUGACGACAGCCAUGCAGCACCUGUGUUCCGGCUCUCUUUCGAGCACUCCCAACUCUCAUCAGGAUUCCGGACAUGUCAAGGGUAGGUAAGGUUUUUCGCGUUGCAUCGAAUUAAUCCACAUCAUCCACCGCUUGUGCGGGUCCCCGUCAAUUCCUUUGAGUUUUAAUCUUGCGACCGUACUCCCCAGGCGGGCAACUUCACGCGUUAGCUGCGGUACCAGGAAAUCGCUUCCCCAACACCUAGUUGCCAUCGUUUAGGGCGUGGAC
RNAcentral lists this unclassified non-coding RNA (374 nucleotides) under uncultured Gammaproteobacteria bacterium. Its description in RNAcentral is "contains 16S-23S intergenic spacer region". The record is from RNAcentral. Lineage: Bacteria; Pseudomonadati; Pseudomonadota; Gammaproteobacteria.